AUUGAACGCUGGCGGCAUGCUUUACACAUGCAAGUCGAACGGCAGCGCGGGCUUCGGCCUGGCGGCGAGUGGCGAACGGGUGAGUAAUGCAUCGGAACGUGCCCAGUAGUGGGGGAUAGCCCGGCGAAAGCCGGAUUAAUACCGCAUACGACCUGAGGGUGAAAGCGGGGGACCGAAAGGCCUCGCGCUAUUGGAGCGGCCGAUGUCGGAUUAGCUAGUUGGUGGGGUAAAGGCUUACCAAGGCGACGAUCCGUAGCUGGUCUGAGAGGACGACCAGCCACAAUGGGACUGAGACACGGCCCAGACUCCUAAGGGAGGCAGCAGUGGGGAAUUUUGGACAAUGGGGGCAACCCUGAUCCAGCCAUGCCGCGUGCGGGAAGAAGGCCUUCGGGUUGUAAACCGCUUUUGUUCGGGAAGAAAUCCUCUGGGCUAAUACCCCGGGGGGAUGACGGUACCGGAAGAAUAAGCACCGGCUAACUACGUG
Molecule: ribosomal RNA, 484 nt
Filed under: uncultured bacterium
Lineage: Bacteria
Description: partial 16S ribosomal RNA
Rfam family: Bacterial small subunit ribosomal RNA
Source: RNAcentral